GAAACCUGCAUAGCAGAACGACCCGUGAACUAAUAAUCACCUGGGGGAGUGGGAGGGAGAUGCACUCGUGCACCCCCACCCCUCGCCCCCAAAGUCUGGACGCGCCCACUGCCACACCGAACAUGUUCGGGCGUUGGCAGGAGGUCGUCCAUGGCGACAAUAACGAACCCCGGCGCGGAAUGCGCCAAGGAAAUCAUAACGAACUUAGCACACCGCUAGCCGACUCGUGCGGCAGCGGCGUCGCAAAUUUCGAUACCUAAACGACUCUCGGCAACGGAUAUCUCGGCUCUCGCAUCGAUGAAGAACGUAGCGAAAUGCGAUACUUGGUGUGAAUUGCAGAAUCCCGUGAACCAUCGAGUUUUUGAACGCAAGUUGCGCCCGAAGUCAUCCGGCUGAGGGCACGUCUGCCUGGGCGUCACGUAUCGCGUUGCUCCCAAAGCCUGCCCUGCCAAGGGUAAGGUCCUGCGGAAGCAGAGAUUGGCCUCCCGUGCCCAUGCACGGCUGGCCUAAAUGCAAGCCUGGGGGUGACGAAAGGGUCACGACAAGCGGUGGUUGUUAACUCGGCCUUUGUUGCGUCGUGCCCGCCGUGCCCCUUGGAGCUCAGCAUCCCUGACGCGUCGUCUCGACGGCGUUUGCUUCGCGACC
RNAcentral lists this ribosomal RNA (645 nucleotides) under Myriophyllum robustum. Its description in RNAcentral is "eukaryotic LSU rRNA". The stretch from base 263 to 418 matches the Rfam family "5.8S ribosomal RNA". Lineage: Eukaryota; Viridiplantae; Streptophyta; Magnoliopsida; Saxifragales; Haloragaceae. The record is from RNAcentral.